RNAcentral lists this ribosomal RNA (253 nucleotides) under uncultured bacterium. RNAcentral's name for it is "partial 16S ribosomal RNA". It matches the Rfam family "Bacterial small subunit ribosomal RNA", at positions 524 to 776 of the family's 1533-position model. The record is from RNAcentral.
UACGAAGGGGGCUAGCGUUGUUCGGAAUCACUGGGCGUAAAGCGCACGCAGGCGGAUCGAUAAGUCGGGGGUGAAAGCCCGGGGCUCAACCUCGGAAUUGCCUUAGAUACUGUCGGUCUCGAGUCCGGGAGAGGUGAGUUGACUUCCUAGUGUAGAGGUGAAAUUCGUAGAUAUUAGGAAGAACACCAGUGGCGAAGGCGGCUCACUGGCCCGGUACUGACGCUCAGGUGCGAAAGCGUGGGGAGCAAGCAGG